AGUGAACGCUGGCGGUAGGCCUAACACAUGCAAGUCGAACGGCAGCACAGUAAGAGCUUGCUCUUACGGGUGGCGAGUGGCGGACGGGUGAGGAAUACAUCGGAAUCUACUUUUUCGUGGGGGAUAACGUAGGGAAACUUACGCUAAUACCGCAUACGACCUACGGGUGAAAGCAGGGGAUCUUCGGACCUUGCGCGAUUGAAUGCGCCGAUGUCGGAUUAGCUAGUUGGCGGGGUAAAGGCCCACCAAGGCGACGAUCCGUAGCUGGUCUGAGAGGAUGAUCAGCCACACUGGAACUGAGACACGGUCCAGACUCCUACGGGGGGCAGCAGUGGGGAAUAUUGGACAAUGGGCGCAAGCCUGAUCCAGCCAUACCGCGUGGGUGAAGAAGGCCUUCGGGUUGUAAAGCCCUUUUGUUGGGAAAGAAAAGCAGCAGGUUAAUACCCCGCUGUUCUGACGGUACCCAAAGAAUAAGCACCGGCUAACUUCGUG
Molecule: ribosomal RNA, 492 nt
Filed under: uncultured bacterium
Lineage: Bacteria
Description: partial 16S ribosomal RNA
Rfam family: Bacterial small subunit ribosomal RNA
Source: RNAcentral